This 450-nucleotide ribosomal RNA is filed under the name uncultured bacterium. Its description in RNAcentral is "bacterial SSU rRNA". It matches the Rfam family "Bacterial small subunit ribosomal RNA", at positions 354 to 796 of the family's 1533-position model. The record is from RNAcentral.
GUGGGGAAUAUUGGACAAUGGGCGCAAGCCUGAUCCAGCAAUGCCGCGUGGGUGAAGAAGGCCUUCGGGUUGUAAACUGCUUUUGUACGGAACGAAAAGACUCCUUCUAAUAAAGGGGGUCCAUGACGGUACCGUAAGAAUAAGCACCGGCUAACUACGUGCCAGCAGCCGCGGUAAUACGUAGGGUGCAAGCGUUAAUCGGAAUUACUGGGCGUAAAGCGUGCACAGGCGGUUAUAUAAGACAGAUGUGAAAUCCCCGGGCUCAACCUGGGAACUGCAUUUGUGACUGUAUAGCUAGAGUACGGUAGAGGGGGAUGGAAUUCCGCGUGUAGCAGUGAAAUGCGUAGAUAUGCGGAGGAACACCGAUGGCGAAGGCAAUCCCCUGGACCUGUACUGACGCUCAUGCACGAAAGCGUGGGGAGCAAACAGGAUUAGAAACCCCGGUAGUCC